RNAcentral lists this ribosomal RNA (497 nucleotides) under uncultured bacterium. Its description in RNAcentral is "partial 16S ribosomal RNA". It matches the Rfam family "Bacterial small subunit ribosomal RNA", at positions 28 to 507 of the family's 1533-position model. The record is from RNAcentral.
GACGAACGCUGGCGGCGUGCCUAAUACAUGCAAGUUGAGCGCUGAAGGUUGGUACUUGUACCAACUGGAUGAGCAGCGAACGGGUGAGUAACGCGUGGGGAAUCUGCCUUUGAGCGGGGGACAACAUUUGGAAACGAAUGCUAAUACCGCAUAAAAACUUUAAACACAAGUUUUAAGUUUGAAAGAUGCAAUUGCAUCACUCAAAGAUGAUCCCGCGUUGUAUCAGCUAGUUGGUGAGGUAAAGGCUCACCAAGGCGAUGAUACAUAGCCGACCUGAGAGGGUGAUCGGCCACAUUGGGACUGAGACACGGCCCAAACUCCUACGGGAGGCAGCAGUAGGGAAUCUUCGGCAAUGGACGAAAGUCUGACCGAGCAACGCCGCGGGAGUGAAGAAGGUUUUCGGAUCGUAAAACUCUGUUGGUAGAGAAGAACGUUGGUGAGAGUGGAAAGCUCAUCAAGUGACGGUAACUACCCAGAAAGGGACGGCUAACUACGUG